RNAcentral lists this ribosomal RNA (492 nucleotides) under uncultured bacterium. RNAcentral's name for it is "partial 16S ribosomal RNA". It matches the Rfam family "Bacterial small subunit ribosomal RNA", at positions 29 to 507 of the family's 1533-position model. The record is from RNAcentral.
AGUGAACGCUGGCGGUAGGCCUAACACAUGCAAGUCGAACGGCAGCACAGUGAGAGCUUGCUCUUACGGGUGGCGAGUGGCGGACGGGUGAGGAAUACAUCGGAAUCUACUUUUUCGUGGGGGAUAACGUAGGGAAACUUACGCUAAUACCGCAUACGACCUACGGGUGAAAGCAGGGGAUCUUCGGACCUUGCGCGAUUGAAUGAGCCGAUGUCGGAUUAGCUAGUUGGCGGGAUAAAGGCCCACCAAGGCGACGAUCCGUAGCUGGUCUGAGAGGAUGAUCAGCCACACUGGAACUGAGACACGGUCCAGACUCCUACGGGAGGCAGCAGUGGGGAAUAUUGGACAAUGGGCGCAAGCCUGAUCCAGCCAUACCGCGUGGGUGAAGAAGGCCUUCGGGUUGUAAAGCCCUUUUGUUGGGAAAGAAAAGCAGCAGGUUAAUACCCCGCUGUUCUGACGGUACCCAAAGAAUAAGCACCGGCUAACUUCGUG